ACGUAGGGGACGAGCGUUGUCCGGAUUCAUUGGGCGUAAAGCGCACGUAGGCGGCUUUGCAAGUCAGAGGUGAAAGCCCGGGGCUCAACCCCGGAAUUGCCUUUGAGACUGCAUCGCUUGAACAUCGGAGAGGUAAGUGGAAUUCCGAGUGUAGAGGUGAAAUUCGUAGAUAUUCGGAAGAGCACCAGUGGCGAAGGCGACUUACUGGACGAUUGUUGACGCUGAGGUGCGAAAGCGUGGGGAGCAAACAGGA
This 253-nucleotide ribosomal RNA is filed under the name uncultured prokaryote. RNAcentral's name for it is "partial 16S ribosomal RNA". It matches the Rfam family "Bacterial small subunit ribosomal RNA", at positions 525 to 777 of the family's 1533-position model. The record is from RNAcentral.